GCGUCCAUAGCUCAGCGGAUAGAGCGGCUGCCUUCUAAGCAGUAGGUCGCAGGUUCGAGUCCUGCUGGACGCA
RNAcentral lists this transfer RNA (73 nucleotides) under Patescibacteria group bacterium. RNAcentral's name for it is "tRNA-Arg". It matches the Rfam family "tRNA". Rfam says of the family: Transfer RNA (tRNA) molecules are approximately 80 nucleotides in length. Their secondary structure includes four short double-helical elements and three loops (D, anti-codon, and T loops). Further hydrogen bonds mediate the characteristic L-shaped molecular structure. tRNAs have two regions of fundamental functional importance: the anti-codon, which is responsible for specific mRNA codon recognition, and the 3' end, to which the tRNAs corresponding amino acid is attached (by aminoacyl-tRNA synthetases). tRNAs cope with the degeneracy of the genetic code in two manners: having more than one tRNA (with a specific anti-codon) for a particular amino acid; and 'wobble' base-pairing, i.e. permitting non-standard base-pairing at the 3rd anti-codon position. The record is from RNAcentral.